RNAcentral lists this ribosomal RNA (1976 nucleotides) under human gut metagenome. Its description in RNAcentral is "bacterial LSU rRNA". It matches the Rfam family "Bacterial large subunit ribosomal RNA", at positions 1 to 1999 of the family's 2925-position model. The record is from RNAcentral.
GAAAGUAAGCAAGGGCAGACGGUGGAUGCCUUGGCUCUCGGAGGCGACGAAGGACGUGAUAAGCUGCGAAAAGCCCGGGGGAGGCGCAAAUAGCCGUUGAUCCCGGGAUAUCCGAAUGGGGCAACCCGGCAGGCUGAAGGCCUGUCAUCCCGAAAGGGAGGCGAACGUGGGGAACUGAAACAUCUAAGUACCCAUAGGAGGAGAAAAUAAACAAUGAUUCCGUAAGUAGUGGCGAGCGAACACGGAAGAGCCCAAACCCAUGUCGUCUAGGCGACACGGGGGUUGUAGGACCACGACGUGGCAAGAUAGAGUCAAGUGGAACGCCUUGGAAAAGGCGGUCAUAGAGGGUGAAAACCCCGUACACGACUGACGAUUGAAGCCUAGUGGCAUCCUGAGUAGCGCGGGGCACGAGAAAUCUUGCGUGAAUUAGCGGGGCCCAUCCCGUAAGGCUAAAUACUCCCGAGAGACCGAUAGCGAACCAGUACCGUGAGGGAAAGGUGAAAAGAACCCCGAGCAGGGGAGUGAAAUAGACCCUGAACCCGUCUGCCUACAAGCGGUCGGAGCGUCGUAAUGACGUGACGGCGUGCCUUUUGCAUAAUGAACCUACGAGUUACCUUCCCCGGCAAGGUUAAGUUCUUGAGGAACGGAGCCGAAGCGAAAGCGAGUCUGAACAGGGCGCCAAGUCGGGGGGGGUAGACGCGAAACCGAGUGAUCUACCCUUGGCCAGGUUGAAGGUUGGGUAACACCAACUGGAGGACCGGAUGGGUAAGCGUUGAAAAGCUUUCCAAUGAGCUGAGGGUAGGGGUGAAAGGCUAAUCAAACUCGGAGAUAGCUCGUACUCCCCGAAAUGCAUUUAGGUGCAGCCUCUUUAUAGUAUAUCGUGAGGUAGAGCGACUGAUUGGAUGCGAGGGCUUCACCGCCUAUCAAGUCCAGAUAAACUCCGAAUGCGCGAUAUAUAUUUACAGGGAGUGAGGGCGCGGGUGCUAAGGUCCGUGUCCGAGAGGAGAAGAAUCCAGACCACCGGCUAAGGCCCCCAAAUGAUCGUUAAGUUGAACUAACGAGGUCGGAUCGCAGAGACAGCUAGGAUGUUGGCUUGGAAGCAGCCAUUCAUUUAAAGAGUGCGUAACAGCUCACUAGUCGAGCGAUCUGGCGUGGAUAAUAAUCGGGCAUAAACGAUCUGCCGAAGCCGUGGAUGUCGCAAGACAUGGUAGGGGAGCAUUCCAUGCCGCGUCGAAGAUAAGGGAUGACCCUUGUUGGAGCGCAUGGAAAAGCAAAUGUAGGUAUGAGUAACGAUAAGGGGGGCGAGAAACCCCCCCGCCGAAAGACCAAGGUUUCCUGAUCAACGCUAAUCGGAUCAGGGUGAGUCGGGACCUAAGGCAAAGCCGAACGGCGCCGCCGAUGGAAGAAUGGGUUAAUAUUCCCAUACUGCCUCAUGGAGUGACGUGGAGACGGAGAAGUGACAGUCCUGCCGGCUGACGGAAUAGCCGGUUGAAGGGUGUAGAUAUUGAUUCCCGUAGGCAAAUCCGCGGGGAGAGUCGAACCUGAGAGUAUACGGAGCGCUUGCGCAACGUAAUAUGGACGUAACCAUGCUCCCGAGAAAAUCCGCUAAACUUAUCCAUGCGGCACCCGUACCGUAAACGGACACACGUGGUCGGGUUGAGAAUACUGAGGCGCUCGAGUGAUUCACGGUUAAGGAACUAGGCAAAUUGACCCUGUAACUUCGGGAUAAAGGGUCCUCGUCGUAAGGCGAGGCGCAGAGAAUAGGUCCAGGCAACUGUUUAACAAAAACACAUGGCUGUGCUAAAUGGAAACAUGAUGUAUACAGCCUGACACCUGCCCGGUGCCGGAAGGUUAAGAGGAGAUGUCAUCCGCGAGGAGAAGCGUUGAAUUGAAGCCCCGGUAAACGGCGGCCGUAACUAUAACGGUCCUAAGGUAGCGAAAUUCCUUGUCGGGUAAGUUCCGACCUGCACGAAUGG